Poecilia latipinna (sailfin molly) is the source of this 1127-nucleotide long non-coding RNA. RefSeq lists it as uncharacterized. The record is from RefSeq and is a predicted model, not a curated record. Lineage: Eukaryota; Metazoa; Chordata; Actinopteri; Cyprinodontiformes; Poeciliidae. The transcript has 2 exons.
GAAGGGAUCGUUUGAUUGCUGCAUCUCUCUUGCUAUAAUUUGAAAUAAUAGGUGGUUUAACCAAGUCAUGCAGAAAGGUCUAACCUGAGCAUUUAUAUAAUUUAAUAAAUCUAGUUGUAUCAAAUUUCUCCCCAAAACUGCCAAAAACAUUGAUAAAUAGGAUAAACACUACAAAAGAGGGUAAUUCAGUUAAGUAAACAUUCUAUAGAAGUGUUUCAAAAGAACCAUUUAUUCAAAGGUUAAAAUUGUUGAACUUUUGGGAUUUAAAACCAUGUUGAGAAUCAAAUAAGUCAGUUAAAUAUGUAGUGACAGGGUUAGCUUUAUUCUUGUAAAAAAAAAAAGCAGGCUAAUUAUUAUAUGAGAUUUUAAAAUGAGAAGAAAAUAUGAGGAUUCAAAUUAAAUUGGUCUAAAUUGGGAUUUACAGAUGAGCAAUUAUGAAACUGCUUAAAGCGGGUCAAAAAAGAUUGACAGAAUAAAAAAGAAUCUAGUCCUAUGUGUAAUUGUUGAUUCAAGGUAAUAAUGCCUAAACAUUUCUCAUAAUCAUAAUUUAUAGUUUUUGUUUUGAGACAAAAUAGGGUUGUCUUUUAUUACAUGAAUGGAAUAUAUUACAAGGGAUCUUAAUUUAACACGGAUCAUUAAUGUUCACACUAUUGAUGAUAUUUUACAAGCCUUUAGUAUAGCGGGUUACUUCUUGUUAAAUGAGGACUAUUUGAUUGAAGUUAAUUAAAAUAACAAAAGCAAAAGAUUUAUGUAUGGUUUAAGAUUUCUGGUAAAGUUUCUAUUAGGGAUAAUUCAUAUAUACAUUUCAAAUGAUAUUUCUUUGAUAAAACAUGACUGUGGGCAGUUUUGUACAUUUAUUUCAUAAUCUGAUCUUUUACUUGAUUUUUUGUUUGGUUUCUGAUUUUGUCUGAUCCUAUGAAUAUGCCAACACUUAAAACAAACAAUGUUAUUCUUGAAGGUUGAAAUGUGUUACUUAAUUUAAACAUUUCUUUUGCUAUUAUUGAGAGGAGAACUGAAAUAAUAAAUGUUACUGAUAUAUUGAUGCUCUAUUGGCUUAGUAUGAGAAAAACACAAAAAGAACUAACUUGAUCUUCAGCUUCAAGGAGAAGCCUUUAAAUAAAAAAGAA